CAAACCAAAAAAAAGAAAAAAGAAAACCAACUAGAACCUGAUCUUUGGAGAAGAAAAGAAUCAAACUAAGAGCUUUCAGGAUUUGCUUCUCCUUUUACUCUUAGGGCAUUUACAUAAAUGGAAGAACAUUUAGGCUAACCUUGUUUAGGGCAGCGUGUUUUACUUGGAAGUACCUUUUUCAGAUUUUCUUUCAGUGAAGGGGUGCCACUAUAGUGCCCCCUGUGAGGGUAUUCGAUGAUGAUAAUUGAAUUAAACCCUUUGGAGAAGAUAAAAUACAAAUGCCAGGGUGUAAGAUUUGGUUCGUAUGUUAGUUUUAACUAAUUAACUAUUUAAUUUUAGCUAAUGCUCUUCUCACAACCCUUACUUAGCACUUAGUUCUGGAUUCUUAAAUCCUGAGGAAGGAGUCACCCUUCCAGAUGCAGUCGCUGGGGUGCAUCCCCUGGUCAUCCUCUGGGGCUCUCUUCGAUCCUAUUCUGGACAUCAUUAUUAACUGGUCUCUCCUGUUUUUCUAUAACAUUGACUCAUCCUGGUUGAUGUUUGUCUCUCCAGCUUGGCUUAGGAGCCUUUCUAAAUCAGAGUUUGGGUAACUCCCAUGGUAGGCAGUAGAGCAAAUAUUAUUGAAGUAACUAAAUGGAAAAAGUAACAACCAUACAGUCAGAAAAAAGACUAGAGAAAAUUAUUAAAGUUUUCUGUAAAAAAAAAAAAAAACUUCUAUUAAGGUUUUUUGUAGACUACCGCAUAGAGAAUUUCAUUACAUUGGCUCUGGUUCUAAAGAAAAACAUGAUAUCAGGUGUCAGAACUCACUCGUAUUUAUAGGAAGAAUACACCCGGGCCGUCAACAACAGCUUCUUUGGUUACAGAAUUACAGGAACUGCUGAGAACCUAAGCUCUUUAAGGAGUCUACAGGGGACUCCUUUAAGACUCAUUCACAUAGGCAGUUUCAAAUGAAGUGGAGAAAAAUUAACAGUUGGAGUGUAGGGGUGAAGGAACAUUCCCAUAAAUUUAGGCAAGACGGCAGACCUUUCCAGUUUUCUGACGUUUCACUGAAGGCGAGUAAUUCUGGCCUGAGAAAGCCAAGGGUGUCAACAGGAAGGCUGUCGAGUCUACAUUCCUAAGAGCCUUUAUCCCGAGGGGGUGAGUGACCUGCACUAUAGAGACUAUUUCUGUUGCUACCAGCGGAGGUUGUAGAUGCCUGGUUUUACAAUAACAUCGUCCUUUGCCUGUGGCGACGCUGGGCUCACCUGAAUCCGUGGGGUUCUCCUUUCUGAUGGAUGGAAACAAGCAGGGAUUCUGCUCCCCAGGAACCCGCGCUGGAAAGAUGACCUGUAGCAGGAGACGUUCAGCGAUGACGCCAUUCAACAACAACAACAAAAAAGAUUAAAAGGAAGAAAUACCAGAUGAUUAAAUUAAAAAACCCUUCUUUGCAAAUCACAGUUAAUGAUGAGGAAUACUGGACCUCCCUUUGGCUGCUUUUUCUGGAUCAAUCCACCUGGGAACUUUUAUCCAAAGAACUCGUAUAGAAUUCACUGAACUUGUAGACUACAGUUAGGACAUGGGAAAAGGAUUGACUUCUAUUGUGGGCAAUGGAAAAUAUUUGGGGCGCACAGAUGGCAAUACUCUGCUUUUGUCUUUUUCCCUUGGAGGGGGAGGACUUGCCCUGAGCGGCCCAGGAAACCCAACCCUGUGCUCUGCAGGCCUUUCUUUCUUCCUUGUGCCCUUUUUACCUUUACUCUCAGUCUGGGUCUCUUGCUCCGCUCUCUCAUGGUUCUCCUGAUGCAGCUGCAAUGGGGGAAAUACAGACCAUUGAUUUGGCACUUGGAGAAGCAGGUGACAAACAGUCCAGCCCAUGUGGCUUCGAGUAUGUGUGUGUGUCGGGGGGUCAGUGCGUGCUGCUUCUGUGCAGUGUGGGGAGAGGAAAACACUUUCCGCGAGGAGAGUCAGUGCGGAGUCGAGCAGUUACCUGAUGACUUUUCCAGAGUUCUGGGAAGAACAGCUGUCCCGCUGUCGAGACUUUUGCUGCGUCUUUGUUUUCCAUUUCGGCAAUUUCUGCUCUUUUACCUUCUCCUUCAUUCUAUAUCCUUUGGGUUUACUCUGUUUUGUGUUGUGUUUUAACUUCUUAUUUUAGGUUCACGCCGAAACAACUGACAUAGCUCAGUGACUCAACACACAAGAGUUUACAUGUUCUUCACGCGCACUCCUCUGUGGGUGUGCUGGCUGGGCAACUCUCCAUACCAGCUCUCCUCCAGCCAGCGGCUCAGGGACUCAGCACAACCUGACGUCCAUCGGCACAACAACGUUUGCUUUAUUCUUCCAAUGGAAGGCUCUGCAGCGAGAGAACACGAAUGAAUCCCACUCUUCAUAUCCAAGACGAAAUCUAGGAACACGAUGCUGAGUGGAACGAGGAAGUGCCAGCAUUCAACCCACAGGGUAACACUCCAUUGCCUUCCAAAAGAGGCUGGCCAGUUUCUUACGUUUCACUAAAGUAGAAGAACCGUUACAUAUGCAUGUUCAGACCCAUCGCGAAUGACUCAUGUGGCUGCAACAUGGAGAGAUCGGCAGUUCUCACGGACCCUGAACUCGACAAACAUUCCUGCUUUCCUUAACAUUCCUUUCCUAUUGCCUCAAUUAAAUAAUGUACACCAUAAAACAUCUUUCUUUAAUUUUCUUUUCAGCAACGCCUAAAUUAUUUUAUUAGUUAUGCAAAGUUGGGCACCCUGUGGUUGGCUUAUUCUUUUCUUUUGUAAUUUACUUUUCAUUUGGAAAAGAGUGAAAUGCUUGAUGUAUUGAUAUGAAGGCUAAAAGAUCAGUCAUGCACAGUGCUGGUCACGGUCACUGCAGGAAACAGAUGGCACCCUCCAAGGGGGUCACUGAUGAGAGUCUCCUGAAUGGGUUAUUUACAGAAGUGUUGUCAGAUGCAGAGAUCUCCUGAGGGACAGCGAAGCCCCUCAGAUUCAGCAGGAAGGACCACAAAUUAGGGGAGGAAGAGGUCCCUGGAACCCAGGGAGAAUGCGGCAGGAGGAGAGGGGAAGGGAUGCCCACUGGAAGCCUUGAUCUUCGGUAGAAGUUCACUGCCAAUGCAGGAGAGAGAGAGAGAGAGAGAGAGAGAGAGAGAGAGAUAGAAGAGAACGUGUCCUGACCUUCCUCUCCUUCUGUCACUGCCUACCACCAUUGUCAGGACACAACCAGAAGACAGAGGGCAGGAAAGCCUGGUGGAUGAAGGGGUCCACAGAGGGCAGCUUCCUGUGGCCCAAAGCAGGGGUUAUGGUGCCAGGAAGUUUUGGGGGAGUGAAGAGUAGAUCUGAAAUGAAAAUCAGAAAACAUCGGGCACACUUACGAGACAGUUGCCACAGUGGUGGAUGUAUUUUUAUUAAUUCUUUUCAAAUGGCACAAAAUACUUUCCCCUUCAUGUUUUGAUAAUUGC
Mustela erminea (ermine) is the source of this 3421-nucleotide long non-coding RNA. RefSeq lists it as uncharacterized. The record is from RefSeq and is a predicted model, not a curated record. NCBI's taxonomy places the organism in Eukaryota, Metazoa, Chordata, Mammalia, Carnivora, Mustelidae. The transcript has 3 exons.